Molecule: ribosomal RNA, 496 nt
Filed under: uncultured bacterium
Lineage: Bacteria
Description: partial 16S ribosomal RNA
Rfam family: Bacterial small subunit ribosomal RNA
Source: RNAcentral
GAUGAACGCUGGCGGCGUGCCUAAUACAUGCAAGUCGAGCGCAUAAAGUUGGUUCUUGCACCGAUUCGGUGAGCGGCGGACGGGUGAGUAACACGUGGGUAACCUGCCUUUGAGCGUGGGAUAACAUCUGGAAACCAAUGCUAAUACCGCAUAAAAACUUUAAACACAAGUUUCAAGUGUGAAAGAUGCAUUUGCUUACCCCAAUGAUGAUCACCCGUUGGAUUAGCUAGUUGGUUAGGAAAAGGCCUACCCAGGCGAGGAUUCAUAGCGGGCCUGAGAGGAUGACCGGCAAAACUGGAACUGAGAAACGGUCAAGACCCCUACGGGAGGAAGAAGUGGGGAAUUUUGGCAAAUGGGCGAAGGCUGGACGAAGAAAGGCCGCGGGGGGGAGGAAGGUCUUCGGAUGGAAAACCACGUUGAUUGGGGAGGAAGUGAGGUAGAGUGAAAAGUUCAUGUAUUGACGGUAACUACACAGAAAGCGACGGCUAACUACGUG